ACGAACGCUGGCGGCGUGCUUCACACAUGCAAGUCGAACGGAAAGGCCCUGCUUUUGUGGGGUGCUCGAGUGGCGAACGGGUGAGUAACACGUGAGUAACCUGCCCUUGACUUUGGGAUAACUUCAGGAAACUGGGGCUAAUACCGGAUAGGAGCUCCUGCUGCAUGGUGGGGGUUGGAAAGUUUCGGCGGUUGGGGAUGGACUCGCGGCUUAUCAGCUUGUUGGUGGGGUAGUGGCUUACCAAGGCUUUGACGGGUAGCCGGCCUGAGAGGGUGACCGGCCACAUUGGGACUUAGGUACGGCCCAGGCUCCUACGGGAGGCAGCAGUGGGGAAUAUUGCACAAUGGGCGGAAGCCUGAUGCAACAACGCCGGGUGCGGGAUGACGGCCUUCGGGUUGUAAACCGCUUUCGCCUGUGACGGAGCGUGAGUGACGGUAAUGGGUAAAGAAGCACCGGCUAACUACGUG
RNAcentral lists this ribosomal RNA (467 nucleotides) under uncultured bacterium. RNAcentral's name for it is "partial 16S ribosomal RNA". It matches the Rfam family "Bacterial small subunit ribosomal RNA", at positions 29 to 507 of the family's 1533-position model. The record is from RNAcentral.